GAAGGAAUAGUUUACUAGGAAUCCUUGAGACCGGCGCACGGGUGCGUAACACGUAUGCAACUUACCCUUUACUGGGGCAUAGCUCAGAGAAAUCUGAAUUAAUUCCCCAUAAUAAUAUUGGAUCGCAUGAUUUGAUAUUUAAAGCUCAGGCGGUAAAGGAUAGGCAUGCGUUGUAUUAGCUAGUUGGUGAGGUAAUGGCUCACCAAGGCUACGAUACAUAGGGGUUCUGAGAGGAUGAUCCCCCACACUGGUACUGAGACACGGACCAGACUCCUACGGGAGGCAGCAGUAGGGAAUAUUGGUCAAUGGACGCAAGUCUGAACCAGCCAUGCCGCGUGCAGGAUGACGGCCCUCUGGGUUGUAAACUGCUUUUAUAUGGGAAGAAACCCCGGGAUGCGUUCCGGGCUGACGGUACCAUACGAAUAAGGAUCGGCUAACUUCGUGCCAGCAGCCGCGGUAAGACGAAGGAUCCAAGCGUUGUCCGGAUUUACUGGGUUUAAAGGGUGCGUAGGCGGAUGCUUAAGCCAGUGGUGAAAUCUCUCAGCUCAACUGAGAAACUGCCAUUGGAACUGGGCAUCUUGAAUUCGAUUGAGGUAGAUGGAAUAUAACAUGUAGCGGUGAAAUGCUUAGAUAUGUUAUGGAACACCGAUUGCGAAGGCAGUCUACUAAGUCGAUAUUGACGCUGAGGCACGAAAGCGUGGG
Molecule: ribosomal RNA, 702 nt
Filed under: uncultured Bacteroidota bacterium
Lineage: Bacteria; Pseudomonadati; Bacteroidota
Description: bacterial SSU rRNA
Rfam family: Bacterial small subunit ribosomal RNA
Source: RNAcentral